Molecule: ribosomal RNA, 380 nt
Filed under: uncultured soil bacterium
Lineage: Bacteria
Description: bacterial SSU rRNA
Rfam family: Bacterial small subunit ribosomal RNA
Source: RNAcentral
AGGACGAACGCUGGCGGCGUGCUUAACACAUGCAAGUCGAGCGGUAAGGCCUUUCGGGGUACACGAGCGGCGAACGGGUGAGUAACACGUGGGUGAUCUGCCCUGCACUCUGGGAUAAGCCUGGGAAACUGGGUCUAAUACCGGAUAUGACCUGCUCUCGCAUGGGGGUGGGUGGAAAGAUUUAUCGGUGCAGGAUGGGCCCGCGGCCUAUCAGCUUGUUGGUGGGGUAAUGGCCUACCAAGGCGACGACGGGUAGCCGACCUGAGAGGGUGACCGGCCACGACUGGGACUGAGACACGGCCCAGACUCCUACGGGAGGCAGCAGUGGGAAUAUGCACAAUGGGACAAAGCCUGAUGCAGCGACGCCGCGUGAGGAUGAA